Molecule: non-coding RNA, 101 nt
Organism: Acanthosepion pharaonis
Lineage: Eukaryota; Metazoa; Mollusca; Cephalopoda; Sepiida; Sepiidae
Source: the annotation of a GenBank genome assembly
ACAUUGAAACACAGGUUUUCGUACGAUCACCAAAGUUAAGUAACGUCGAGCCUGGUCAGCACUGAGAUGGAUGAUCGCUUAGUAAUACCAGGUGCUGUAAG